CCUACGGGGGGCAGCAGUGGGGAAUAUUGCACAAUGGGCGCAAGCCUGAUGCAGCCAUGCCGCGUGUGUGAAGAAGGCCUUCGGGUUGCAAAGCACUUUCAGCGGGGAGGAAGGCGGUGAGGUUAAUAACCUCAUCGAUUGACGUUACCCGCAGAAGAAGCACCGGCUAACUCCGUGCCAGCAGCCGCGGUAAUACGGAGGGUGCAAGCGUUAAUCGGAAUUACUGGGCGUAAAGCGCACGCAGGCGGUCUGUCAAGUCGGAUGUGAAAUCCCCGGGCUCAACCUGGGAACUGCAUUCGAAACUGGCAGGCUAGAGUCUUGUAGAGGGGGGUAGAAUUCCAGGUGUAGCGGUGAAAUGCGUAGAGAUCUGGAGGAAUACCGGUGGCGAAGGCGGCCCCCUGGACAAAGACUGACGCUCAGGUGCGAAAGCGUGGGGAGCAAACAGGAUUAGAUACCCGAGUAGUC
RNAcentral lists this ribosomal RNA (465 nucleotides) under uncultured Klebsiella sp. RNAcentral describes it as "bacterial SSU rRNA". It matches the Rfam family "Bacterial small subunit ribosomal RNA", at positions 338 to 795 of the family's 1533-position model. Lineage: Bacteria; Pseudomonadati; Pseudomonadota; Gammaproteobacteria; Enterobacterales; Enterobacteriaceae. The record is from RNAcentral.